AUUUAUAUAGUUUAAUUAAAACAUUACAUUUUCAAUGUAAAAAUAGUAUAUAAUACUUAUAAA
RNAcentral lists this transfer RNA (63 nucleotides) under Angulomastax meiospina. RNAcentral's name for it is "tRNA-Glu". Lineage: Eukaryota; Metazoa; Arthropoda; Insecta; Orthoptera; Eumastacidae. The record is from RNAcentral.